Molecule: ribosomal RNA, 253 nt
Filed under: uncultured bacterium
Lineage: Bacteria
Description: partial 16S ribosomal RNA
Rfam family: Bacterial small subunit ribosomal RNA
Source: RNAcentral
UACGGGGGGGGCAAGCGUUGUUCGGAAUUACUGGGCGUAAAGGGUUCGUAGGUGGCUUGCUAAGUCAGACGUGAAAUCCCUCAGCUUAACUGGGGAACUGCGUCUGAGACUGGUGAGCUUGAGUGCAGGAGAGGAACGCGGAAUUCCAAGUGUAGCGGUGAAAUGCGUAGAGAUUUGGAGGAACACCAGUGGCGAAGGCGACUUUCUGGUCUGUAACUGACACUGAGGCGCGAAAGCGUGGGGAGCAAACAGG